GACGAACGCUGGCGGCGUGCCUAAUACAUGCAAGUCGAACGAACCGCGACUGAGUGCUUGCACUUGGUCAAGGUGAGUGGCGAACGGGUGAGUAACACGUGGGUAACCUACCUCAUAGUGGGGGAUAACAGUCGGAAACGACUGCUAAUACCGCAUAGGACAUAGGAUCACAUGAUCCAGUGAGGAAAGGUGGCGCAAGCUAUCGCUAAGAGAUGGACCCGCGGUGCAUUAGCUAGUUGGUAGGGUAAAGGCCUACCAAGGCGAUGAUGCAUAGCCGACCUGAGAGGGUGAUCGGCCACAUUGGGACUGAGACACGGCCCAAACUCCUACGGGAGGCAGCAGUAGGGAAUCUUCCGCAAUGGACGCAAGUCUGACGGAGCAACGCCGCGUGAGUGAAGAAGGUCUUCGGAGCGUAAAGCUCUGUUGUUAGAGAAGAACAGCGCAUAGAGUAACUGCUAUGCGUGUGACGGUAUCUAACCAGAAAGCCACGGCUAACUACGUG
This 502-nucleotide ribosomal RNA is filed under the name uncultured bacterium. RNAcentral's name for it is "partial 16S ribosomal RNA". It matches the Rfam family "Bacterial small subunit ribosomal RNA", at positions 28 to 507 of the family's 1533-position model. The record is from RNAcentral.